This 253-nucleotide ribosomal RNA is filed under the name uncultured bacterium. RNAcentral's name for it is "partial 16S ribosomal RNA". It matches the Rfam family "Bacterial small subunit ribosomal RNA", at positions 524 to 776 of the family's 1533-position model. The record is from RNAcentral.
UACGGGGGGGGCAAGCGUUGUUCGGAAUUAUUGGGCGUAAAGAGCUCGUAGGCGGCUUGUCGCGUCGGAUGUGAAAGCCCGGGGCUUAACCCCGGGUCUGCAUUCGAUACGGGCAGGCUAGAGUUCGGUAGGGGAGAUCGGAAUUCCUGGUGUAGCGGUGAAAUGCGCAGAUAUCAGGAGGAACACCGGUGGCGAAGGCGGAUCUCUGGGCCGAUACUGACGCUGAGGAGCGAAAGCGUGGGGAGCGAACAGG